This 73-nucleotide transfer RNA is filed under the name Fusobacterium necrogenes. It matches the Rfam family "tRNA". Rfam says of the family: Transfer RNA (tRNA) molecules are approximately 80 nucleotides in length. Their secondary structure includes four short double-helical elements and three loops (D, anti-codon, and T loops). The record is from Rfam by way of RNAcentral. Lineage: Bacteria; Fusobacteriati; Fusobacteriota; Fusobacteriia; Fusobacteriales; Fusobacteriaceae. RNAcentral also lists the same sequence under 1 other name.
GUGAUCGUAGUUCAGUUGGUAGAGCGCCAGUUUGUGGCACUGGUUGUCGCGAGUUCGAGCCUCGUCGAUCACC